This 588-nucleotide small RNA is filed under the name Histoplasma ohiense. RNAcentral's name for it is "hypothetical lncRNA". The record is from RNAcentral. Lineage: Eukaryota; Fungi; Ascomycota; Eurotiomycetes; Onygenales; Ajellomycetaceae.
UGUGCCCCGGUGGCCGAAUGAGUAAUGCGGCCACCAGGUAGCGCCUUGGCGUGGGGACCCAGGGUGCGUGGGUUCGAAACCCACAGGGGACAACAUUACAUCCAGAGCCAACUUCUCAGCUCCUAAAAUAAUGGGAUGUGAACUUGCCAAGUAGGUACCUUUGGGCGGACCUACUACCUGAUUUAGCUUAUUGUUUCUGGGCUGGAAACCUGUAUUGCAUGUACCAAUCCUGUCUUUCAUUAAUUUUCCUAUGUUCUUGUUAUUCUUGGCGCUGUUCAACACUAAGCAUUCCUCCGGUAUAACCAACUCUUGCCUGUAUUUAACAUCACACAAGGACUCGUCAUAAGCGCUGCUUGCAUACGAGUAUAACGGAAGAAUAAUAAUAAUAAUAACAAGAAGAAUGUUGAUAGAACUGCUGAUCUCAUUCAGAUAUCAGUGAAAGUGUACAAACUACUAAUCUGCCAAGUGCAUGAGAAGAAGAAUGUCCAAGUGUUUGCUGCUAGUAUAGUGGAUAUUAAGAAAGUGUUAGAAAAGUUAGAACUCAAAGAUCUCAAGAAACUGUGCAAGAAAUUACUCAAAUCAUACAAA